GAGCGGUAGAGAGAAGCUUGCUUCUCUUGAGAGCGGCGGACGGGUGAGUAAUGCCUAGGAAUCUGCCUGGUAGUGGGGGAUAACGUUCGGAAACGGACGCUAAUACCGCAUACGUCCUACGGGAGAAAGCAGGGGACCUUCGGGCCUUGUGCUAUCAGAUGAGCCUAGGUCGGAUUAGCUAGUUGGUGGGGUAAUGGCUCACCAAGGCGACGAUCCGUAACUGGUCUGAGAGGAUGAUCAGUCACACUGGAACUGAGACACGGUCCAGACUCCUACGGGAGGCAGCAGUGGGGAAUAUUGGACAAUGGGCGAAAGCCUGAUCCAGCCAUGCCGCGUGUGUGAAGAAGGUCUUCGGAUUGUAAAGCACUUUAAGUUGGGAGGAAGGGUUGUAGAUUAAUACUCUGCAAUUUUGACGUUACCGACAGAAUAAGCACCGGCUAACUCUGUG
RNAcentral lists this ribosomal RNA (448 nucleotides) under uncultured bacterium. RNAcentral describes it as "bacterial SSU rRNA". It matches the Rfam family "Bacterial small subunit ribosomal RNA", at positions 64 to 507 of the family's 1533-position model. The record is from RNAcentral.